Spodoptera frugiperda (fall armyworm) is the source of this 1598-nucleotide long non-coding RNA. RefSeq lists it as uncharacterized. Lineage: Eukaryota; Metazoa; Arthropoda; Insecta; Lepidoptera; Noctuidae. The transcript is spliced from 2 exons. The record is from RefSeq and is a predicted model, not a curated record.
UCAAGCGGUAUGGUAGAGCUACAUGCUGCUUUGAGCGCUAUAAAGGGAGCAAAUGUAUGAAUAUAAACUCCGUAAGUGGCAUAGUAGAUCUAUGAUGUACCUUACUUACUGUUUGAGCGGUUAGAGGGUGGCAAUAAGGUAAAUUGUAACACCUUGAGUUGCAGUAUAGAUCUACAAUAAGAAAUUUUAGCGUCUAAUUUACUUUUUUUCAUAGUCGGCUAAUGCGGUAUGUUUUAUUUUAUAACGUUGCAAUAUGUUAAAUGAAUGAAGAUUUAUCAAACAACCAUAACACAUUUUGUGUUUACGAAAAUAAAUGGCGGAGUUGGGUGUAUUAUUUUAAAUCGUUGUUAGUGGAAGCUGAAGCGGAAUUUUCAUUGCGAAGGUAAGUUUACUGUGAAUAUGUGUAUAUAUUAUUGGCAAAUAAUUGAAGCGCCCACUCUUUGUUGUGUAUUUAUCUAAUAAAAUGUUUUGCUUCACAUGGAGAAAAACAUUUUUUUACUAAAUAUGUAACAAAACUUUGCCUAUUGACUUGUGUCGGGACCCUGGUAUUAGAACGCUAGAAAAAUAAAUAUCUUCAUUGUAUUAAGUUUUCGUUUCGUACGUUUUACGGUUUUUACUUAACUUCAUUAGGUAUCUAAAAAUGGUGGACGACGACGACGACGCCAUUUUAUGUUCGUCACGUGACCAAUUAGAGGUACUAAAGUGGUAACGAACUCAAUAAUUCAACCUUAAGUAAUAUAGAAGCUAUAUUUGACACUACAAGUUCUAUAAUAGGGAGAAAUAUCGCUACUAUUCAGCCCUAAAUCAUACAAGGGAGUUUUGUAUCACUUUAGGAGUUUGGUGUUGUAAAAGAUUUAAUGAACACCAUUGUAGAGCUAGUAGCGUUAAAUGCUCCUUUUGUGCAACUAUCAGCGCCCCGAAAGAGUUUGUGGUAGCUUGCUUAGAACUUUAGAAGUUAAUAGUAAAUGUUAAUUUCUUAUAUAGAUCUUAUAGUCGUAAAAUUCGCUCAAAGCUAUAACACAGAAGCUUUGGUCUGUAUUGUAGGGAUAAUAAUCGCUGCUCUACGCGUUUAACCUCCAUAUAUUGCUCUUAUAAACCUGCUUUGUUACUAUAAGCGUUAUAUUUUAUUACUAACACUCUUUUGGCGCCUGAAUCUAUAAUUGCAGCUACUAUUCUACCUUCAUAACACUUUAGGUUCUAAAGUAAGCUCUAUUUGCAGCCAUAAUGUUUGUUGGUGUGUAUGUCACUGAACUUCUCUUAAACGAGUGGACCGAUUUUGAUGAACUUUUUUGUGUGUGUUCAAGGGGAUCUGAGAAUGGUUUAAAUUCACAAUUUUGUCCGCUGGACAAUGUUUUUUUAAUUAGUUUUUAAUUUAUUAGUAGUUGUUGAUUUUGGAAUGUUUUACAUUGGAUCCGACAGACGGCGCUACCAUCGCAGUGUCAAAUAUUAAUGACGUUAAAUAUUGUCAUAACAUUUGUAUAAGAAUUUUCAUCAAAAAGGUCCAGAAUGUUUUAGCUUAUUAAAAAAAGUUUAAAAUUUUCAAAUUAAAGACGUGUAGACAGGACAACGUCUGUCGGGUCCGCUAGUAAACAUAUAAA